CCUUCGCAGCUCGCUCACGACUUUGGUAUACGUUUGCGACCCCAAUGUUAUUCGGCAAACUUUCAGAUGAAACUACAAGGUUAAAUUCAUCCAUACAUUGUUUUUCGAUAGCAUGCUUCUGAACUGAGAUAAUAGCAAAUGAAUGUAAAUCUUUGCAAAUGAAUGGUCGCAACCUUGUCUAAAACUACUGGAGAGUUUCAUUCGUAAUUCAGUGGAGUUUAUCCCGUAACUCUGUGGGAACUACUGUUUCCCACUAAGCACUAUGCUUGCUUGCUCGCUCGCUCUUGCGUUAAAUAGAAGCUCUCUUCUGAAUGCCGUGAAAAUUCCACUCAGAAACCAGCGGAAUCUUGUGUAGACUUUUAACAAAACAUCGCAGAUGAAUGUAUCAAUGGCAUCCUGUAUGCAUUUAUGUUAAUUUUGGACAAGGUAAGGCAUUCCAAUUUGAAUUUUCUUGCUAUUUUCGAAAAGAAUUUCAUUCAAAACCUACUGGAAUGUUUCAUUCAAAACUCUGUGGAGAGUUUGACCCGUAAUUCUGUUUCGUACUACGCACUGCGCUCGCUCGCUCGAUCGCUCUUGCGGUGAGAACCCCACUAAGAAAAAUGAACAUAUUUCCAUGAGGAAAUUUGUGGAGACUUUUCUCAAAACAUCGUCCAUUAUCCUUUGGAUGUUUCCUUCACAAAUAUGUAGAGAAAUGCACACAGAAUCGCGUAUGGAACUGCAUCCAGAGUAUGGGACAUAAGUUUCUGGCACUAUGUGCUUUGGAUCGCCAAUCCGGAGACGAUGGGAUCGAUACCCGUUUCGGUUGGGAAUUUUCUGGGCUAAGUCUAUCAUAGUGCUUGUAAUAAUUGUGGAAAUGUUCAAUCGACUCAUUCAGAGUCUUGUGGAGACUUCCCACCAGAAUCAUGAUUCAUAACACAAAAAAGUGGUGAAUUUCUUCCAGUACGCUGGAGAUAUAUGUACAUAGCUAAUUCUAAUGAUGAUCUUCUCCAGAGGUGUGGAAGAAUCUGAUCGGAGUCGUUUCGAUAUUUUUAUUUAAGAGUACUGUGGAGACUUGUUUCAUAUCAUGAUAAUUCUUCGGAGAAUUUUCUUUAGAUUUCCAAUGGAAAUCUGUUGAAAAAUUUGAUUUCAUAUUUUUAGGGGAUUUUGCUAAGUACACUGUGGAGAGUUCCGUUCACCACACUGUAUUAUGAAAACGUCAACCAGUUUUUUUCUUAUUCUUUAAAGAGUUGAGACCGUUGUAGAAGAUUCUGAUCGGAAUUGUGGAAGCUGCCAUGCAUAAUUAUCUUCUGGAGACUUAUUUCCAAUAUCAAGUGGAACACUAUUAUUCUAUUUAACCUCAGGUUUCUCUUCAGAUCAGAAGAAUUGUAAACAAAAUCUUGAGGAGAAAUUCUUGCAAAAUUCUGUGGAGAGUCAUAUCCAGAACUGCCUAAAUAUUGUUAUUUUGAGUCCUGUGGAGAUUUCUGAUUGAAGAAAUGCAAAUUUCUUCGAACAUAAUUCUCUUGGCAUUCCUGUUCAGAUCAGGUAAAUAAUUUUGUCCAAAAUCUUGUGGAGAGUUUUUUCGAGCUCAGAUUGAUGUGAAUAAUACCGUGUGGAUUCUAUAGAAGCCAUUUGAAAUCUGUUUAGAAUUUUACUGUGGAUACUUCGAACUAAACUAGUUUACGUCCAGUAUCGUGAGGAGAGUUCUUCAACGGCUUUAUUAACAAUUCAUAGAUUUACAAUCCAUAAUCGCUCAUUUUUCACCAAAAACCCAAUAUCCCAUGCAUUGGAAUUCCAGGAAUUCCGAAUGGAAUUCGGCUGCGUCAUACCACAACACUGGCAACCCUGCCCACAGAGCAAACCCCCCAAAUGGCGAGCAAGCAGCUUGUCGACGUCGUCACCGUCAAUACCAGCACUAGGCCAAACAAAAAAGAGUUGUAAGUCUGGCGGUUCUCUCUCUCUUUCUUUCUCUCUCAGCUUCGCCCGCACCCGCAAUUGAAAGGUGCCUCCGGUACAAACACAAACAUAACCACAACCGACGACUGAUGACUGGCAACCGUCCGUUCGUGUGCUGUGCAAAUGUAAAUACACAAUUAAAGAUCAGAUGGUGUGGACGGGAGCGCGAGCUCCCGCUCUCUUGGCUCUGCACUCCGCUCCGCGAGUGCAGCACAGUCAAAAGAAGUGUCACCAGCUCUCGGACUCAUCGUCGCAUCGCCGCCACCAUCAAAGUAGGCCUCGCAGCCGCAGGCCUUCUCCCGUUGAUGUUUAGAAACCUUUCAAAGCCUACUUGAACUUCGAUUGUUGAAUGUUUGACCGUCGCGUCAAGAGGUGAAGAGAACAGCGGGUGUGGGAGAGAGAGUGUCGUUUCAAAACACAAACAAGCUCGCGCGUUCUCUUUUUCACCUUUUUGGCUUUCUGCGAUGAGUUUAGAAGAAACCUUUUUCCAAAACCCCGAGUGUCUCUUUCUGACCAAUCCACCAGUUUCGUAUUGAACCCGUGCGCGAGUUCGCUUAUGCUUUGCUCGUCGUUGGUGCUGAUGGGACGAUGAUUGAGUGUCUAUCGGUGUCUUCUUACUCCCGUGCGACGACAUCGAGAAUGAGCGACAACAGAGGGUGAGGAGGAAGAAGCGAGAGAGCGAGCGAAUGUGUACAAGAGAUAUCCAGAUGUCAACUAAUACCACAAUAAACAUUAGGCUUUAUUUGAUUGUCAAUGGAUUGCUUUGUUAAUGCUCCAUUCUUCUUUUGUUUGUUCACAUCCACAAUUAAUUACGGUAAUUGGGACAUUUAAAAAGUAUAAUAAAUAAAUAAAAAUAACCAUAAACAAGUUUUGAGAUUAUUUUGAGAAAAAUACUCAAAGCGCUUCCUCUCAAAAAGGUCAACGAGUUCCAUUUCCGCUGUUUUUUUUGUCGAAAAUCCAGCUCAAACUUCUCACCAAAUCGCGCAUUCAUAAUUUCCAAUUGAAAGCCGUAAAACAAUAAUUGCCAAAAAUCGUAAAAACAGCCCGAAAUUUAUUGUCAUCCUGUGCAUCGCGAACCGACAAAGAUGAAUCGCGAUCGACACAAAACCAGGAAGGGGCUUAAUGCGGCCGCAGCCGACUUUGUCGCCGAUGAUGGUUCCAUUAAAAAUUCAAAUUAGCAUGCUUCGAUUAUCUUUUUUUUUCAUUCCCUGUCCGCUGCUGGAGGAAGAAAAGAAGAUUUUCGAUCCGAUCAUCUCACAGCGAUAGCGACAGGAAGAAAGUUCGCUCACCAGCACGGACAUCAGCGCUGUGCAGUGACAAAAUUCUGCGCGAGGGUGGCGCAAAAGAUGCGAAAGCAUCAGCAAAGUGCAAAAAUCGAAUCAGAUUUGCGGGGAGAAAACAGCGCACAGCGGGAUUAGAACCGAGGCGGUGCGCCUCGCAUCGCAUCGCAGUAGACACAGACGAGAAAGAAAAGCACAAGAGAGAACGAUCUCACCCAUAUCACUUGAGCGCUAGCGCUCGCGGAUCGCGAGGGAUGCUGCGCGACGAAAGUUGCGCUCUCCGCUUUGCUCUCUCAUUCGUUCGGUCGUUCGUUCGUUCGAUCAGAUCAGUUCUCUUCAGUCGUUCUUCUUUGUUCGCGGGUCGCGAUCGCGAGAGUGACGCACACAGCUUUAGCGGGAUUGAGUUUUUUUUUCGCUUCGCUUCGCUUCUGUUUCAGCCAGCAGCCAGCGUCUCCUUUCAAAAGCCUCCGAGUCUCUCGGACAGGAUGGAGUUAGACGCGAGCGUUAUGGGACACAAGGAGAGGUACGGUGGCAAGGAGGAUGCUGAUUUGAAGUGAGUAGUGAGGAGUCAAAUCAAAUGCAAAGGCGAACGGAGAGAACGGAGCAAAGUAAUAAACGAUUAGCGAAAGAGAUUGGACGGUGGAUGGUUGGUGGGAGAGGGAAGGGAGGAGAGCAACAUGAAACGAACGCAGCUUGUAGAGAUAUUGAUGAUGAUGAUUAAUCUUUUCGCUUUGCGAUGUCUAGGUUAGGAUGUACUUUUAGUGUAGACAUAUUAUCUCGUCCACGCACGAGAUGAUCUUUCGUUGUGAAUGGUAGAGACGCUUUGAAGUUGUAAUACAUGCGAUAGGGAUGUGUAAUGUAACUGUUUUGCGGAAAGACAGCAGACUUGGAACCUUUUCCUCAAAUCUGUGCGGCUCUUUCCCAAAUUUUUGUUUCGAUUGCUUCGGUAGAUCAUGCCAGAAAUCUCUACACAAAAUUCCUCCUUAUUCACCAAGAGAUUACAAUAUUUGCCGUAAAAUAUUUUUGUGGAAUUUCAACAAAAGUGCCUCCAAGAAUUGCUCCAGGAUCUUCUUUGGAAGUACAUAUCACGAAACGUUCAUCCAGGAUUAUUGUCUUUAAUUAGUUCAAGGAUUCCUUUAAAUCAAAAUUUCUGUAAGGUUUCAUUAGCAGAAACUCCAGUGGGUCAAAAUCUCCGUUGGAAUUAUUUCAAAAAAUCCUCAGGGAAAUACUAACACGCAUUCCUACGAAAACGCCUCCGGAAAUUCAUCCACGAAUUCCUCCUGGAAUUCAUAAAGGAAUUCUUCAAGAAAUUCUUCCAAUAGUCCGGGAAUUAAUUCAAAAAUGCUUCCCGAAUUCCUUCAGAAAUUAUUUGAUAUUUUUUGCAGA
Molecule: long non-coding RNA, 4598 nt
Organism: Aedes albopictus (Asian tiger mosquito)
Lineage: Eukaryota; Metazoa; Arthropoda; Insecta; Diptera; Culicidae
Exons: 3
Source: RefSeq, a predicted model, not a curated record